AGAGUUUGAUCAUGGCUCAGGACGAACGCUGGCGGCGUGCCUAACACAUGCAAGUCGAACGGACGAGGCCCCUUCGGGGACCGAGUUAGUGGCGGACGGGUGAGUAACGCGUGAGCAACCUGCCUUUCAGAGGGGGACAACAGUUGGAAACGACUGCUAAUACCGCAUGAUGCAGCGAGAUCGCAUGGUCUUGCUGUCAAAGAUUUAUCGCUGAAAGAUGGGCACGCGUCUGAUUAGCUAGUUGGAGGGGUAACGGCCCACCAAGGCGACGAUCAGUAGCCGGACUGAGAGGUUGAACGGCCACAUUGGGACUGAGAUACGGCCCAGACUCCUACGGGAGGCAGCAGUGGGGAAUAUUGGGCAAUGGGGGAAACCCUGACCCAGCAACGCCGCGUGAAGGAAGAAGGCUUUCGGGUUGUAAACUUCUUUUACCAGGGACGAAGAACGUGACGGUACCUGGAGAAAAAGCCACGGCUAACUACGUGCCAGCAGCCGCGGUAAUACGUAGGUGGCAAGCGUUGUCCGGAUUUACUGGGUGUAAAGGGCGUGUAAGCGGAGCUGCAAGUCAGAUGUGAAAUCUGGGGGCUUAACCCUCAAACUGCAUUUGAAACUGUAGCCCUUGAGUAUCGGAGAGGCAGGCGGAAUUCCUAGUGUAGCGGUGAAAUGCGUAGAUAUUAGGAAGAACACCAGUGGCGAAGGCGGCCUGCUGGACGACAACUGACGCUGAGGCGCGAAAGCGUGGGGCGCAAACAGGAUUAGAUACCCUGGUAGUCCACGCUGUAAACGAUGAAUACUAGGUGUGGGGGGACUGACCCCCUCCGUGCCGGAGUUAACACAAUAAGUAUUCCACCUGGGGAGUACGACCGCAAGGUUGAAACUCAAAGGAAUUGACGGGGGCCCGCACAAGCAGUGGAUUAUGUGGUUUAAUUCGACGCAACGCGAAGAACCUUACCGGGAUUUGACAUCCUACUAACGAAGCAGAGAUGCAUUAGGUGCCCUUCGGGGAAAGUAGAGACAGGUGGUGCAUGGUUGUCGUCAGCUCGUGUCGUGAGAUGUUGGGUUAAGUCCCGCAACGAGCGCAACCCCUAUUGUUAGUUGCUACGCAAGAGCACUCUAGCGAGACUGCCGUUGACAAAACGGAGGAAGGCGGGGACGACGUCAAAUCAUCAUGCCCCUUAUGUCCCGGGCUACACACGUAAUACAAUGGCGGUCAACAAAGGGAAGCAAAGCCGCGAGGCAGAGCAAACCCCCAAAAGCCGUCUCAGUUCGGAUUGCAGGCUGCAACUCGCCUGCAUGAAGCUGGAAUUGCUAGUAAUCGUGGAUCAGAAUGCCACGGUGAAUACGUUCCCGGGCCUUGUACACACCGCCCGUCACACCAUGAGAGUCGGGAACACCCGAAGUCCGUAGUCUAACCCGCAAGGGAGGGCGCGGCCGAAGGUGGGUCUGAUAAUUGGGGUGAAGUCGUAACAAGGUA
This 1474-nucleotide ribosomal RNA is filed under the name metagenome. Its description in RNAcentral is "bacterial SSU rRNA". It matches the Rfam family "Bacterial small subunit ribosomal RNA". The record is from RNAcentral.